CUCUGCCGGAGGGAGCGUGGCCUCGGGUGAGGUUCGUGUGUAUUGUAUCGGGAAGUAUCGUGUGUAUUGUAUCGCCUUCGUGGAAGGCGCGUGCGGGUCGAGUGUGUGAGUGGACGUGUGAAUGUGUGAAUGCGCGCAUGGUGCGUGCAAGGCGAAUGCGUGCGUCACCCCCGCGCCCCUCCCCCGGCCUACACCUUGAUCUUAUUUGAUCGGGUCGUGACUCCAGCCCCGCCGGGCCGACCCGAAAUGAAAAGCUCCCCUCCUGCGAAGCCCUUUCCUUGGGGCGCUGUGCAGCGAGGCCCCUUGGGCGGUGGCAACGCCGCGGUCCCCGAGGUCCCGGAGCCGGCCCAACGGGGCCCGGCGCUCAGAAGUGAUGAAUUGAUCAGAUAGACGAGGCCGGGCUUGUCCCGGGCCACUGAUUAUCGAGGCGAUUCUGAUCUGA
Vicugna pacos (alpaca) is the source of this 442-nucleotide non-coding RNA. RefSeq annotates it as small Cajal body-specific RNA 2. The record is from RefSeq and is a predicted model, not a curated record. Lineage: Eukaryota; Metazoa; Chordata; Mammalia; Artiodactyla; Camelidae.